Molecule: long non-coding RNA, 1132 nt
Filed under: Ananas comosus (pineapple)
Lineage: Eukaryota; Viridiplantae; Streptophyta; Magnoliopsida; Poales; Bromeliaceae
Description: long non-coding RNA (ACOM_LNC009634)
Source: RNAcentral
ACUGUAGAGCAUUUGGUUAAAUAUAAAUAAGAAAUAAUUUUUCUGAAUUGAUUUUAUAAUGUUGUUUCGUAAAAACUUUUGUUCGUGGUAAAAUAUAUGUUUUUAGUAUUUUUUUAAUAAAUAAGUUGAAAUUCAAUUUCAAUUUCAAAUUUAAAUUUGCACAAAAUUUUAGAAUUUGUUUUUUUAAUAUAAAAUAAAUAUAUAAAAUAUCAAAAUUUAAAAUUUAAAUGUUGAAUUUUAAAUAUAAAUUAAAAUAUCAAAUUCUAAGCAAUUAGCUCCUACUACUAAUAUUUUGAUUACGAGAAAUAUGGCUUGUUCGAUCUAAAUUCUCAAAAUGUGACCUUUGUAUAAUGAUUUUGAUUUUUGGUCGGCUAAAUAUAAAUAAAAAAUGAAUUUUCUGAAUUGAUUUUAUAAAGCAGUUUUGUAAAACUAUUUUGUUGGUGGCAAAAUAUAUGUUUUUACUAUUUUUCAAAAAAAUAAGUUGAAAUAUGAAUUUAAAUUUAAAAUUUUAAUAUAAAUUUGCACAAAAAUUUAGAGUUCGUUAUUUUAAUAUAAAACAAAUAUUUCAAAUAUCAAAAUUCAAAAUUUAAAUGUUGAAUUAUAAAUAUAAAUUAAAAUUAAAAUUUCAAAUUUAAAAUCAAAGUUUAGAAUUUGAUAUUUUAAGUUAAAAUAAAUAUUUAAAAUAUCAAAUUUUAAAAGAUUGAAUUUUAAUUCCAAAUUAAAAUUUAAAAUCCAAAUUUAUUAAUUUAAAAUUUAAAAUUUAAAAUGUAAAAUGAAGAAUUUAAAAUUUAAAAUUAAAUUUUUAAUUUUUAAAAUUUAAAUUUAAUGUCUAAAUUCAAUUUUUAAAAUUUAAAGGUUUACUGUAUAAUUUAAAUAUUUACAAUCUAAAAGAAAAUUGUUAAUAUUUAAACUUUUAAAAUUUAAAAUUCUAAAUUAAAAUUUUAAAUUUUAAAUUUAAUUCAAAAUUUCCAUUUUAAUCCAAAUUUAAUUCAGAUUAAAGCUUUAAUAUAAAACUUAAAAUUUGUAAUUUGAAAAUGAAAACUUUUAAAUUAAAACUCAAAAUAUUAUAAUUUAAAAUUUUAAAAUUAUUAUUUUAAAUAUCAAACUUAAAUUUUAAUUUAGAUUUAAAAUU